GCGCCUAGCGUCUGGGCAGCGUCAGCCGCUACGUCCACCUUUUCCCUGUCUCUAGGGGUUUCUCCUCGCGCCGCUGUGUUCCAGCGCCGGCUCCGAGCUGGGAGGGUGACUGAGCCCUGAGCUUGGGCCCUCCGAGAGGUGCGUUAGCUCUGGGUCUUCUUGCCCCUACGCCCGAGCCUGGCGUUCUCUCGGCCCCCUCUUAGGAACGCUAGCCCUGGGCAGAAAUUGCCUUUGUGGCUGAAGUCGGCCAGCGUCGCGUUUCCACUCUCCCGCCGAAUCUGGACCCAAGCCAGCCUUCCCUUGUGCAUCGGUAGAUAGCUUGUGUUAAGGCGCCAGCUUCUUGGAACAGAGCUCUCUGCAAAAGUCGCGCUGAAGAAUUCAUAGUCAAAAGCUGAACUUGCAGAAGUUUCUACUUCUGGAAUGAGUGUUGAAAUGAGAUCAAUUCUGACAUUCAGUUUCGCUUUUGGGAUUAUGCCUUGGACUAACUCAGCUACUCUGAUGAGCUAAAGACUGUAGUAUAUUUGAAGGAAGACACGAGGAACUGUUUUGUAUUUUGUAGGGAUAGAACAGGACCUUGAGGAGAUUAUUAUAUGAAGA
RNAcentral lists this long non-coding RNA (597 nucleotides) under Homo sapiens (human). RNAcentral describes it as "LHRI_LNC1554.1". Lineage: Eukaryota; Metazoa; Chordata; Mammalia; Primates; Hominidae. The record is from RNAcentral.